GGGGAUUUAGCUCAGUGGUAGAGCACUUGCCUAGCAAGCACAAGGCCCUGGGUUCGGUCCCCAGCCUUG
RNAcentral lists this transfer RNA (69 nucleotides) under Rattus norvegicus (Norway rat). It matches the Rfam family "tRNA". From Rfam's summary of the family: Transfer RNA (tRNA) molecules are approximately 80 nucleotides in length. Their secondary structure includes four short double-helical elements and three loops (D, anti-codon, and T loops). Further hydrogen bonds mediate the characteristic L-shaped molecular structure. tRNAs have two regions of fundamental functional importance: the anti-codon, which is responsible for specific mRNA codon recognition, and the 3' end, to which the tRNAs corresponding amino acid is attached (by aminoacyl-tRNA synthetases). tRNAs cope with the degeneracy of the genetic code in two manners: having more than one tRNA (with a specific anti-codon) for a particular amino acid; and 'wobble' base-pairing, i.e. permitting non-standard base-pairing at the 3rd anti-codon position. The record is from Rfam by way of RNAcentral. Lineage: Eukaryota; Metazoa; Chordata; Mammalia; Rodentia; Muridae.